UUUGCAUCGAUGAAAAAACGCAGCGAAAUGCGAUAAGUAAUGUGAAUUGCAGAAUUCAGUGAAUCAUCGAAUCUUUGAACGCACCUUGCGCUCCUUGGUAUUCCGAGGAGCAUGCCUGUUUGAGUCUCAUGGAAUUCUCAACCUUCGGCUUUAUUGACGAAGGCUUGGACUUGGAGGUCGUGCCGGCUCUCGUAGUCGGCUCCUCUGAAAUGCAUUAGUGCGAACGUUACCAGCCGCUUCAGCGUGAUAAUUAUCUGCGUUGCUGUGGAGGGUAUUCUAGUGUUCGCGCUUCUAACCGUCUUCGGACAAAUUUCUGAACUCUGAGCUCAAAUCAAGUAGGACUACCCGCUGAACUUAAGCAUAUCAAUAAGGCGGAG
This 377-nucleotide ribosomal RNA is filed under the name Bjerkandera sp. 35A. RNAcentral's name for it is "eukaryotic LSU rRNA". The stretch from base 2 to 129 matches the Rfam family "5.8S ribosomal RNA", at positions 28 to 154 of the family's 154-position model. Lineage: Eukaryota; Fungi; Basidiomycota; Agaricomycetes; Polyporales; Phanerochaetaceae. The record is from RNAcentral.